This 460-nucleotide ribosomal RNA is filed under the name uncultured bacterium. RNAcentral's name for it is "partial 16S ribosomal RNA". It matches the Rfam family "Bacterial small subunit ribosomal RNA", at positions 338 to 795 of the family's 1533-position model. The record is from RNAcentral.
CCUACGGGAGGCUGCAGUGAGGAAUAUUGGUCAAUGGACGAGAGUCUGAACCAGCCAAGUAGCGUGAAGGAUGACUGCCCUAUGGGUUGUAAACUUCUUUUAUAUGGGAAUAAAACGUUCCACGUGUGGGAUUUUGUAUGUACCAUAUGAAUAAGGAUCGUCUAACUCCGUGCCAGCAGCCGCGGUAAUACGGAGGAUCCGAUCGUUAUCCGGAUUUAUUGGGUUUAAAGGGAGCGUAGGUGGAUUGUUAAGUCAGUUGUGAAAGUUUGCGGCUCAACCGUAAAAUUGCAGUUGAAACUGGCAGUCUUGAGUACAGUAGAGGUGGGCGGAAUUCAUGGUGUAGCGGUGAAAUGCUUAGAUAUCACGAAGAACUCCGAUUGCGAAGGCAGUUCACUGGACUGCAACUGACACUGAGGCUCGAAAGUGUGGGUAUCAAACAGGAUUAGAUACCCCAGUAGUC